Papaver somniferum (opium poppy) is the source of this 535-nucleotide long non-coding RNA. RefSeq lists it as uncharacterized. The transcript has 3 exons. The record is from RefSeq and is a predicted model, not a curated record. NCBI's taxonomy places the organism in Eukaryota, Viridiplantae, Streptophyta, Magnoliopsida, Ranunculales, Papaveraceae.
UUUUGUUACUCAUUUUAUUUUGGAAUCUUCAACUACUGAAGAAAUUAGUGGGAAUUAGAUUAAACUAUGGCAAAAAGAAACUCCAAAUCUUCACAAACAUGAUAACCCCUAGAACGGAUAGUCAAAAAGAUCUGCUUUAGGGUUUACCUUCUUCUCUGUGGCAGCAGAAACUCGAAAUCUUCACAAACAUGAUACAUUAUUUCUUUUUUGGAAUCUUCAACUACUGAAGAAAUUACACAUGUUCAGAUCUCUCUCUACUGCUUUAUCAUCACGUAUUCAUGGUUUGGAUUUGGAAUAAUCUAUAGAAUGAUAUUAAUUUCCUUGGGAGGUAGAAGUAUACAUUUUUGGAUUAGGGCUUAGAUCACUGCAAGAUCUAGAGUAUUCAGUUUCCUCAUUUCAAUUCCUGUGUCUUCGAUUCUCAAAGGUCGUCCCAUAAACAAGUUUCAGCACAAGUUUCUAACUACAGAUUCCGGUCACCUUGCUAUAUAUAGUACUAGACUGUCAUCAGCAAUGGGGGCGUCAAGAAUAACAACAC